This 253-nucleotide ribosomal RNA is filed under the name uncultured bacterium. RNAcentral's name for it is "partial 16S ribosomal RNA". It matches the Rfam family "Bacterial small subunit ribosomal RNA", at positions 524 to 776 of the family's 1533-position model. The record is from RNAcentral.
UACAGAGGGGGCAAGCGUUGUUCGGAAUUACUGGGCGUAAAGGGCGCGUAGGCGGCCGCCUAAGUCAGACGUGAAAUCCCUCGGCUUAACCGGGGAACUGCAUCUGAUACUGGAUGGCUUGAGUUCGGGAGAGGGAUGCGGAAUUCCAGGUGUAGCGGUGAAAUGCGUAGAUAUCUGGAGGAACACCGGUGGCGAAGGCGGCAUCCUGGACCGACACUGACGCUGAGGAGCGAAAGCCAGGGGAGCAAACGGG